This 200-nucleotide ribosomal RNA is filed under the name uncultured bacterium. RNAcentral describes it as "partial 16S ribosomal RNA". It matches the Rfam family "Bacterial small subunit ribosomal RNA", at positions 8 to 230 of the family's 1533-position model. The record is from RNAcentral.
AGAGUUUGAUCCUGGCUCAGGAUAAACGCUGGCGGCGUGCCUAACACAUGCAAGUCGAACGCGUGCAGCAAUGCACGAGUGGCGGACGGGUGAGUAUCACGUGGGAAUCUACCCUUGGGUGAGGAAUACCGGCGAGAAAUCGCCGACAAAACCGCAUAAACUCGGAAACGAGCAAAGUCGUAAGACGCCUGAGGAUGAGC